AAUUUCAUAAGUUGUAAUUAAUUUCAUCUUUUGAAAUGGUUGACUUGUUUAUUAUUGACUUUUAUGAUAGAGUAAGUUCCAAUUUGUUCCUGAACUGUCUGAGCAAACCAAGAGAAUACUAAAGGAUAACAUGAGUAAUAAGUGGAGGCAAUUCAAGCAUGAUUUGAAAUCAAAGGCAUAUGAUGCAAGUAAGACUAAGGAAGAAAUGGCUGCCAACAUCCCAGACAAAAGGGUUGAUCCUUCUUAGUAUCGUGAUUUAGUACAUCAUUGGUGUUCUAAGAAAGGACAAGACAUAAGUAUCAUGAAUAAAAGAAGUCGCUCAAAAUAUGAGGAUCUACAUUGCAUGGGUACCAAAAAUAUCCCAAGGUUAAUUCAUGAGAAAAAAAAAAGGAGAAUGGAGUGCAACCCUCACGAGCUGAAAUUUAUAUUGAUACUCGGACUCGAAAAGAUGGGAGCAUUGUGAAUGAAAAGGCAGUCCAUGUGAUUGACGAAUUAAAGAAGCAUAUGGUGGAGGUAGAAAGCUUAGGAGGAUCUCAAACUGCUCCUGAUUAUACAAAUUGGAAAAAUGACAUCUAUUCAAAAGUGAAAGGGCUUGAAAAAAGAGGACAUGUACGUUGUCUUGGCAAACUUCCACUUGCUAAAAAUUCAAAUACUGCAGCUCAAAGUUCUACUGCAGAACUUAGAAUUCAAAAAUUAGAGAAGGUACUUGGAAAUCUUGUUUCUUUUCUUCAAGCACGAUUUUCAGGAGUUCAAGAGAUUAAUGACAUUAUAGAAGCUGUAGAUCAAGAGAUACCCGAUGCUGCAAGUAACAGAAACGAUUAUAAUAAUAACAUUUAGUGAACUACAAGUGGUGGGUGUUAGGUGAUAUCGAUAAUCGUAAG
Molecule: non-coding RNA, 881 nt
Organism: Cajanus cajan (pigeon pea)
Lineage: Eukaryota; Viridiplantae; Streptophyta; Magnoliopsida; Fabales; Fabaceae
Source: RefSeq, a predicted model, not a curated record